This 87-nucleotide transfer RNA is filed under the name Candidatus Saccharimonadota bacterium. RNAcentral's name for it is "Candidatus Saccharibacteria bacterium tRNA-Leu". It matches the Rfam family "tRNA". From Rfam's summary of the family: Transfer RNA (tRNA) molecules are approximately 80 nucleotides in length. Their secondary structure includes four short double-helical elements and three loops (D, anti-codon, and T loops). Lineage: Bacteria; Candidatus Saccharimonadota. The record is from RNAcentral.
GCGCGAGUGGUGAAACUGGCAAACACGCAGCCUUGAGGUGGCUGUGCCUUAAAAAGCUUGGAGGUUCAAGUCCUCUCUCGCGCACCA